GUUGAGUUGAGUUGAGUUGUUGAAUUUCAACAUGGGAAGUCUUAAAAAUGAAAACUUCUGAUUCUUCAAAUUGCAUUUCUUGCUCUUUGUUAUGAAAUUCUUGCCUUGCAUCCGGUUGGGUUGUAAUUACAUUUUCAAGAACUCUUAAAUUUAAUAUUGCUUCUAGCUUAUAAAAAGUUUCUUCAAGGCACUUCUUACCUUUUUCUUGAGAUCAAAAUUUUAAGUCAGCAUCGUAAGCCAAAUAAUUAGAAUUUAUUUGUGGCUGAAUAAAUAAGUUAUGUAAAACAUGUAUUGGUUCUUCCAUUAUUCAAGUUCUCUCUCCCGAACUUGUAAAAGUUGUUGACAGUUCAAAAUUCAUAUAAUAAGUUAGAAGGACAAAAUUCAUUACCACCUCUCAUCUAAUUGUACCAUGUGAGAAUUGAUUUCAGCUUGUAAUCUUUGAAUUUCAACCCACAUUGGAUCUAGUUAUCAAGGGAGACAUCUUCAAAGGCACAAGGAAAAAAUGUAGCACCAUUUUUUUUUGGUCCAUGUCAGAGUUGCCCAACUUAACAUGAUUGAGUCUUGCAGUUGUAUACCACUAGAAAAGCUCUUCCUUUGUAAAUUGCAAAUCACGUUGACCAAAAAUCACGUUGCUACAGUGGAUAAAAACAGCCACACUAUCGAGGGAGAGAUUAAGAAAUCAUGGUUGAACCUCUGAGGGACCAAUUUGAUGUAGAACCAAUAGAAAACUCUAUGGAAAAGAAUCAAAACUCACAAAAUUAAAUUAAUUAUCAGUUGUCAAUAAUAGUAAUUCUCUCUAGAAAAAUACCUAAAUUACAUAGGUAUUUAUAAUAUCUCAAAAAAAGAAAUGCUAAACUAACAUUAAUUAUUAAACUAAAUUAUACAAACUCUUAAAUAAAUAAAAUAUUACUACUUAAUUAAUCUUCUUCUUAAAAUAUGUGGACCUAAAAUUUCUAGUAGUAGAACUGUAGAAAGCCUCAAAUCACUAGCAUAAUGAGAAGGAGGAAGGAAGAAGUGUUAUGGGAAGAUGAACAAACUUGCUUAGAAAGAA
RNAcentral lists this unclassified non-coding RNA (1051 nucleotides) under Hevea brasiliensis (rubber tree). Lineage: Eukaryota; Viridiplantae; Streptophyta; Magnoliopsida; Malpighiales; Euphorbiaceae. The record is from RNAcentral.